Sparus aurata (gilthead seabream) is the source of this 500-nucleotide long non-coding RNA. The record is from Ensembl. Lineage: Eukaryota; Metazoa; Chordata; Actinopteri; Spariformes; Sparidae.
CAGCAGACACCUUAGCACACAGAACUGUAGCGUGUAUGACUCAAAAUGAAUAAAAAAGUAGUUAAAACAGUGUGUUUGUGCAAGGAGCUACUUACCUGUUUGUUGACAUCCGUGUGUUCCGGUAGCUAGACCAAACUAGCAUAUCCAUCGAGUGUGCACUUAACAGGCUUAACAGGCUAUUGUAAGGCUCAUGGCUCAUGACAGGCUGUAACAUGGACAUGUACAUUAUGAACAUAAACACGAAAAUGCUGGAUUACGUUUCCGUCUCCGCCAGUGAGGGAGUAAAUGCACGCUCGACGGAUCAGCUAGUUUAGCCUAGCUACCGGAAGACGCCGAUGUCAACAAACAGGGUUGUGAGCUGUAGUUUCCCUUCAGGUGACGCUUCGAGCAAAACAUUCUUCAAAGUGUUACCAGAAAGCAGGCAGGACUGGAUCUACACAAUCAACUGCACUGCAAUCUCAUAUAAACCACUUUGGCAAUAAGUGAGUGUGUGUAAGCCC